Molecule: ribosomal RNA, 253 nt
Filed under: uncultured bacterium
Lineage: Bacteria
Description: partial 16S ribosomal RNA
Rfam family: Bacterial small subunit ribosomal RNA
Source: RNAcentral
UACAGAGGGUGCAAGCGUUAAUCGGAUUUACUGGGCGUAAAGGGUGCGUAGGUGGUGAGAUAAGUUAGGUGUGAAAUCCCCGGGCUUAACCUGGGAAUGGCGCUUAAUACUGUUUCGCUGGAGUACUGUAGAGGGAAGUGGAAUUUCCGGUGUAGCGGUGAAAUGCGUAGAUAUCGGAAGGAACACCAGUGGCGAAGGCGACUUCCUGGACAGAUACUGACACUGAGGCACGAAAGCAUGGGGAGCAAACAGG